This 2179-nucleotide long non-coding RNA is filed under the name Erythranthe guttata (spotted monkey flower). RNAcentral describes it as "long non-coding RNA (EGUT_LNC002660)". Lineage: Eukaryota; Viridiplantae; Streptophyta; Magnoliopsida; Lamiales; Phrymaceae. The record is from RNAcentral.
AAAUGUGAUUGAUACCAUUUUUAAAUACAUGAUUUAUUAUAGUGUACACUAACAACAAUAUUAUAGAAUGCAUUCUGACAAUGGUGCCAAAGUUUGCUGCGUAGUUGAAAUAAAACAAAUUCAUUCAUAUCCUAUAAAUUCUUAACUAGCUACACUCACAUUAAGUCUUAUCCUAAAAUUCCAUUGACAAGCAACACCGACUCUAUAUCUACAGUAGAUCCCUGAAAGUGACUUUGAUGCAUUGCUUGAAUGGCAACCUGAAAAAAUCGAAGAUACAAAAUGCAGUCAGCAAUGACCAUAAUUUAUGACAUGAAGAAUUACUGAGAAUUCAUCUAUAUUCUAAUAAAAAAAUCAAACAUAUAUAUUGUACAACGACACGUAUUACUAAAUACGUAAAAUAUUAACUUGACAACAAAACCAUAGAAAAUAGGUAAAUACUUACUUGGUCACAAACCCAUAAAACCACUACAUCGAAUCAUCAAAUCUUGAUCAUUCUCAUAAAUUAUGUUACUUUCUACAAGCAAGUCAGACUAAACUGUGUAUCUGCAAUAGAAAAGCAAAGCAACUCAACGAUGUACCAUGUAUGUUUGCAAAAGACUAGCAUAUAACACACUGUAGAUGAAACAUAAAAGAUAACAAGUAUUUUAACCAUGGUUAAAACUGAACUCCAACAAACAAACUGAUACUGACCCAAUCAGCAGUAAAUUUCAAUUAUAAGAAAUAAAAAAUGCUAUAUCUAAAGACUUCCUUGCUAUCAGUCAACUAAAUUUGGUAUACUCGAACUUAUGUUCACAACAUUAAAAAAAUCACCAUUGAAACGUAAAAUGAAGGGAGUUUCUUGAAUAAAAUUCAAGCAACAUUUUUUGUCUACAGGACUACUCUUCUCAUGCCUGAACCAUGAAUAACAACAGUAGACCCAUAAUUCAUAAUUAAACUUCAGAAAAAAAAAAAUAUAAGUGAGGAUAAAACAAUGCAAUGCACAUAAAUUUCUGCUUGCUUGCAAUAUUUAAGUAGUUUGAGAACAUUUAACCUGAUUGUUGACGACGUCAACAAUUUAUUUCUUCAUUUCUAUUGAAAAUUUCAAAACACAACUAGUCUUUACAGGUCCAGAGAUACAUAACUGAUGUAAUGAAGAAUAAAACAAUAAAACAAAAAACAAAAACAAUAGAAUAUGCAAAGCCUUGAAAAAAGGAAAUGAAUUAGUUGAAUAACCAAGCCACAUUAAACAAAUAAUAAAAAAAAUAAAAAAUCAAUCAGAUAUUUCGCCGAUUCAUAGAUAAAAUGUUCGUGUCUAUGUAUAUAUUUAUUCAUACUGCUAUAUAAAAUUUAAACAUGCAUAAAUAGACAUAAGAAUCAUACAUAGACCUUGGACUGGGUAUUAGAUGAUAAUCCUAAUGAUAUUCACCGGUCUUCACCAUUCUGAUCCAAGACAUAAAAAGAAAUGCCCAAAAAUUCAAUCACAUGCUUCUCAAUCAAGACACAUUAAGCAUAAAACAGAGUUCUACAAUAAAAGAUGCGUCCAAGAAAUAGUUUUUACCAGGCACGAGCUGCAAGCACAAAACUUUUGCUCCGAUUAAACGUCUCAGCUGCAAGAAUUGCCUAUAUAAACAAAUGGUAAACAAAAGAAUUGGAAAAUCCAGUAAGUUUGCUAUUAUUUACUCUGCGUUAAGUACUUAUUAAUGAAAUGUUUUAUUAAUAAGUGAAAAUUAGAAAAAUCAAAAUGGAAAAUAACAAUUCUAAAAAUGAUAUACCAAUGUAGUAAGAAACUUGAGAUAAUCCAGAAAAAUGAAUACCAAAAUGCAGAAGUCUUGGAAAUCAACUUUAUAAUUGCCAAACAACUGCAACAAUAUAGAUUAUUGAAAGAAAAAAAAAAACACAAAAUUCUUGGGAAUCAACUUUACGACAGAGGGUGAGUCUUCAAUUAAAAUACGCCGAGAAAGAAGAAAACCCCAAAAUUUAAGUAUAUAUUAAAAUCAUGAGAUAAAAUUUACAAAGUGAACAAUGUAUUUAAAAUUACCUUCGACCUAAUGUUUACUCCUAGAGCAGACCCAAUUCCACUGAAGGGCGAUUGGCAAAACAAUUCACGGGUAUCAAAAGAUUAGAGAGAAAACAACUGGUGGCGGUUGGCAAAAAAACCAUGCCUUUAAAAUCAAGGGAAGGAGACGAGAAAAAGUGUAAA